GUCGACGACUCUGGUAUUGAUUGGUGCUUGCAUCAUGAUUUACAUUUGAGUGAGUGGCGAACUGGUGAGUAACACGUGGGAAACCUGCCCAGAAGCGGGGGAUAACACCUGGAAACAGAUGCUAAUACCGCAUAACAACUUGGACCGCAUGGUCCGAGUUUGAAAGAUGGCUUCGGCUAUCACUUUUGGAUGGUCCCGCGGCGUAUUAGCUAGAUGGUGGGGUAACGGCUCACCAUGGCAAUGAUACGUAGCCGACCUGAGAGGGUAAUCGGCCACAUUGGGACUGAGACACGGCCCAAACUCCUACGGGAGGCAGCAGUAGGGAAUCUUCCACAAUGGACGAAAGUCUGAUGGAGCAACGCCGCGUGAGUGAAGAAGGGUUUCGGCUCGUAAAACUCUGUUGUUAAAGAAGAACAUAUCUGAGAGUAACUGUUCAGGUAUUGACGGUAUUUAACCAGAAAGCCACGGCUAACUACGUGCCAGCAGCCGCGGUAAUACGUAGGUGGCAAGCGUUGUCCGGAUUUAUUGGGCGUAAAGCGAGCGCAGGCGGUUUUUUAAGUCUGAUGUGAAAGCCUUCGGCUCAACCGAAGAAGUGCAUCGGAAACUGGGAAACUUGAGUGCAGAAGAGGACAGUGGAACUCCAUGUGUAGCGGUGAAAUGCGUAGAUAUAUGGAAGAACACCAGUGGCGAAGGCGGCUGUCUGGUCUGUAACUGACGCUGAGGCUCGAAAGUAUGGGUAGCAAACAGGAUUAGAUACCCUGGUAGUCCAUACCGUAAACGAUGAAUGCUAAGUGUUGGAGGGUUUCCGCCCUUCAGUGCUGCAGCUAACGCAUUAAGCAUUCCGCCUGGGGAGUACGGCCGCAAGGCUGAAACUCAAAGGAAUUGACGGGGGCCCGCACAAGCGGUGGAGCAUGUGGUUUAAUUCGAAGCUACGCGAAGAACCUUACCAGGUCUUGACAUACUAUGCAAAUCUAAGAGAUUAGACGUUCCCUUCGGGGACAUGGAUACAGGUGGUGCAUGGUUGUCGUCAGCUCGUGUCGUGAGAUGUUGGGUUAAGUCCCGCAACGAGCGCAACCCUUAUUAUCAGUUGCCAGCAUUAAGUUGGGCACUCUGGUGAGACUGCCGGUGACAAACCGGAGGAAGGUGGGGAUGACGUCAAAUCAUCAUGCCCCUUAUGACCUGGGCUACACACGUGCUACAAUGGAUGGUACAACGAGUUGCGAACUCGCGAGAGUAAGCUAAUCUCUUAAAGCCAUUCUCAGUUCGGAUUGUAGGCUGCAACUCGCCUACAUGAAGUCGGAAUCGCUAGUAAUCGCGGAUCAGCAUGCCGCGGUGAAUACGUUCCCGGGCCUUGUACACACCGCCCGUCACACCAUGAGAGUUUGUAACACCCAAAGUCGGUGG
Molecule: ribosomal RNA, 1404 nt
Filed under: Lactiplantibacillus plantarum
Lineage: Bacteria; Bacillati; Bacillota; Bacilli; Lactobacillales; Lactobacillaceae
Description: bacterial SSU rRNA
Rfam family: Bacterial small subunit ribosomal RNA
Source: RNAcentral